ACAGCAGGACACAAGGAUCUAGAGGGGCUUAGCUGCAGAUGCACAUCUGGGGACAAAAGGGAGAAGAACCUACAUUAGAUUGGAAUAAAUCAUACUACAGAUGAUUUACUUGUUAGUCCUAAAUAAGAAGCUGUCCUGGAAUCAGCAGUGUUUCAGACUGCUGGGUAGAAUUUUGCACCCUGUGUAAGGCAGAGACAGCUCUGGUGCCUUGCAGGUACUGCUCUUCCCAGAGAGCAGGAGAUCAUCUCACAAGGAUUGAAAUUACAGAAAUUGGCCUGAAGAGGUACAUGAAGUUCAAGAUUUGAAAUUCCAAGGCUUUCUGGAGCCCUGCCUCCAAACCCAGGAUAACCUGUUAAUUCCAUGGUCAGAAACACUCCAUCGUAAACAUUUCCCAGUGAAAGUCUUUGAAGUGAAGCCAUCAGUCACUUGUUCAGCACGAGUCCCACAAGCUGGGACUGCAACCUGACUUUUCCACUGAGAGGCUUUGGUCAGUACUGCCCAUCCCAGCAGGAUUAUCUAUGCACCCUGCCCUAAACGUGCCUGCAGUGCAGCACUCCCACAUUUCCAAAGAUCUCCUAACUGUUUAUAAGUAUCUAAUGUGCAGAAGUCAAGUCAAUGGGGGCAGACUCUUUCUGAUGGUGAGCAGCAACAGAACAAAGGGCAAUAGGCAGAAAAUGGAACUCAGCAAGUUCCAUACAAACACAAGGAAUAACUUCUAUACUGUCAGAGUGACGGAGCACUGGAACAGGCUGCCCAGAGGGGUUGUGGAGUCUCCUUCUCGGGGGAUAUUCAAGAGCCACCUGGAUGCCGACCUGUGCGACCUGCUGUAGGGAAUUGCUUUAGUAGAGGGCUGGACUCGAUCUCUAGGCAUCCCUUCCAACCCCUGCAAUUCUGUGAUUCUGUAAUUCCGUGAAAGGCAAAUACACAUCUCAGCAUGAAAAACAAAGAUGUGAACCGCCUUCUACCUCAGAUGGGGAGGAGGAUAAGCCCCCAGGAGCCCAGUGUUGGCUUGUUCUGGUCAAAACACUGCAAUCAGCCAGAGAACUUGUACUGCCCCUCUGUAUAAGAUUUGGACCCUCUUACAUUCUGCUGAAAGCACCUUUGGAAAGGAACAGUACCUUAUUCCUGGGGCACAGGUAGAGACGCUGGAGGGGUCCCCCAAAUGCAGGCAGGAAUUUGUAUCACAAAUAAGGCACCUUUGUCUUCUACGCCUUCAAUACAAGCUGCUAAAAAUGGGCUUUUCUUUCAGCCCAGAGGACAAAAACUUAAAAACGAAACAACAAACCCAACCAUCUCCCUGUGCCUGUGCUGCCACCUCCCUCUCUCUCCUCUGCCUGCGGCAGGCAGCUCGGGCUGUGAGGACCCCGUGCCGAGACUGAGGAAGCAACUGUAUAUACGGAUGGGAGACAAGCUGGGUGCUCAUCAGGAGGAAACAGCUUUCAGUGGCUUCCAGAUGGGGCCCUUUCCCACCUGUACACCCUAGGACGCUGAAAACUACUGCAAGCCAGGAGGCCUCACACAGGAACUCAACAACCCUAGCAAGAAUAUAAUUGCCUUCAGAGCUAGCAGUACCGGCAUGAGAGACUGCCUUCAGUAGGAACAGACUUUCCACCAUCUCACGCCUCACCCAGGUGCAUGACUUCGUUUGCAAAGGCCCAAGGGAGUGAAACAGCUCUGUAAGGCCUUAGGAGAAGGGAAAUUGCUAUCAGACUCCUGUUGAUUCCACAGCCCACCAAGGACGCUGCUGGCUUCUACAGGCCAUCCCCCAUCUGUUGGAAUAGCGGGAAGUUUUGCUUUAGCAAUAAAAAAUAAAAAAUGCUGGAGUCCAACUGGUGACUGAAGUCUGGUGCCAGGCUCUGCUGCAGAGACAUCACAGCUGCCUACAGUGCCUGCUCUGAAAGAGGUGCUCAUUAAACAUUUGCCUUGGGUUUAUUUUCCCUGUUUGCUGUACCCAAGCAUUCACAACAAAAAUUCCAUAAGGGAGAGCUGCAAAUCAAAAGUUUGAUUUCAUUAAAACAAAUGCAACCAGC
Gallus gallus (chicken) is the source of this 2030-nucleotide long non-coding RNA. RefSeq lists it as uncharacterized. NCBI's taxonomy places the organism in Eukaryota, Metazoa, Chordata, Aves, Galliformes, Phasianidae. The transcript is spliced from 3 exons. The record is from RefSeq and is a predicted model, not a curated record.